Molecule: non-coding RNA, 1034 nt
Organism: Malus domestica (apple)
Lineage: Eukaryota; Viridiplantae; Streptophyta; Magnoliopsida; Rosales; Rosaceae
Source: RefSeq, a predicted model, not a curated record
UUAAAUGAUAGGCCAUCAUUAUCUGUCGUCCUACUACGCCUAGUCCAAGAGAAGAUGGUUUUAUUUCAGUGGCUUGCUUUUGCGAAUGAAGCUCCAAAUUAACAACCAAGCAAGCAUGGCUUCGGCUAUUCUUUCUCUGGCCAAACCAUCUCCUCUGCAGCCAAAUGGAAAACAUUUUGCAGAAUUCUCAGCUCUCCCGAAGCCAUCAGCCUGCCUGCCUUUUGGCAGAAAGACCUCAAACGAUCAAAUGAUGAAAAGUAAAGUGGUAGCAUCUCAAAGAAAUAUUGCGUGCUUUGCUUUGCAAGAAUCAUCCACUUCCACUGUAGGGCAGCAUUGGUAAAAAGUGAACUCUUUUUGCCCCUUUUACGUACUAGCUGAUGCUGCUGCUGCUGCUGAUACAAGUACAAAGGAGGUUAAAACAGCUGAUCAAAAAGCAGCAGCUCCAGCAAAGCCUAAAGUUGCUGCAAAAGCCCCAAUGAAGGAGUUGCCUCAAAUGAUGGAGGAGGACGUUAUCCCGCCGUUGAAAGCAAUACUCGAAACUCAAGAUGAACUCUCUGAUAUUGAGCUAUGUUUUCAAGACAACAGGCUGGAAGGUUCCUUUAUAAAGAAGGGCAAUUCUUAUUCGUUUUGGGCCUUCUUCCCCAGUGGAGUCCUCACAGGUCCAAAGGGGUUUUCUCUGUCUUCGUAUGGCUCAGGAGUGAGCACUGUUGAGCCAUUUCUCGUUGAUGAGAAGAAAAUAACUGCAAAACAUAUUGUCUUUUGGGUUGAAAAGCGUUUAGCCGCUCAAGGAAUCAUUCCUGUCUGGAAUUAGAUUAGUUUUCCUUUCCACAAAUCCUUCAUUUCAUUCCCCACUAUAUAUAAUAUUCAUUGUAAAUUAAACGAACAAUGCAUUACUUUAAUUUUGGAUUUUAAUCACUCUGAUCUGAUUUAGCCAUCUUGUUGAUUAAGCAAUUAACAGAAUUGGGCACCAAUGCAAGUUGGUUGGGUCGCCCAGGAGCUAAACCCUAUGAAUAAGAUUUAUUUAUUAUACCCCA